UUGGUCUACACUGAAUAUUGAGGAUAAAGUAUCCAUGUGAAAUUCUGUAACAGGUCUGGCAUAACCUCAUGUUUGCAUUAUGGAAGAAAGAGAGAUAGAACCCUGCAACAGUCUUGACACCAUGAUUCACCUCUAGCCCCAGCCAACCACAGAGCAUGGGCACAACUGCAUCUGGCUUACCAGGGUGUGAACCUGGGACCCUCCCGUGCAGGUACAAGCAUUCAGAGACAGUGUGCAGUUUGCUAUGCUCUUCAUCCUCUCCACUAUAACUCCAAACAGAGGCUUCAUCAUCAGCCUGGGUUCAAAAAUGAAGAUGGAAC
Long non-coding RNA from Tupaia belangeri chinensis (Chinese tree shrew), 320 nucleotides. RefSeq lists it as uncharacterized. Lineage: Eukaryota; Metazoa; Chordata; Mammalia; Scandentia; Tupaiidae. The record is from RefSeq and is a predicted model, not a curated record. The transcript is spliced from 3 exons.